Molecule: ribosomal RNA, 466 nt
Filed under: uncultured bacterium
Lineage: Bacteria
Description: partial 16S ribosomal RNA
Rfam family: Bacterial small subunit ribosomal RNA
Source: RNAcentral
CUACGGGCUGCUCCAGUGGGGAAUAUUGGACAAUGGGGGAAACCCUGAUCCAGCAAUGCCGCGUGUGUGAAGAAGGCCUGCGGGUUGUAAAGCACUUUCGGUUGGGAGGACUGCUUCUAGCACUAAUAUUGUUGGAAGUUGACGUUACCUUCAGAAGAAGCACCGGCUAACUCCGUGCCAGCAGCCGCGGUAAUAGUGGAGGGUGCAAGCGUGAAUCGGAAUUACUGGGCGUAAAGCGCGCGUAGGCGGCUAGAUCAGUCGGGUGUGAAAGCCCCGGGCUUAACCUGGGAACUGCAUCCGAUACUGUCUAGCUUGAGUACAGGAGAGGAGAGUGGAAUUCCACAUGUAGCGGUGAAAUGCGUAGAUAUGUGGAGGAACACCAAUGGCGAAGGCAGCUCUCUGGCCUGAUACUGACGCUGAGGUGCGAAAGCGUGGGGAGCAAACAGGAUUAGAUACCCUUGUAGUC